RNAcentral lists this non-coding RNA (22 nucleotides) under Arabidopsis thaliana (thale cress). Lineage: Eukaryota; Viridiplantae; Streptophyta; Magnoliopsida; Brassicales; Brassicaceae. The record is from RNAcentral.
CAGCCCAUUGUCCAUAUGGUCA